This 243-nucleotide unclassified non-coding RNA is filed under the name plant metagenome. Its description in RNAcentral is "partial contains small subunit ribosomal RNA, internal transcribed spacer 1, and 5.8S ribosomal RNA". The stretch from base 195 to 243 matches the Rfam family "5.8S ribosomal RNA", at positions 1 to 49 of the family's 154-position model. The record is from RNAcentral.
UUUCCGUAGGUGAACCUGCGGAAGGAUCAUUAAGGAGAAUAUGCCCUUCGGGGUAGAUCUCCCACCCUUUGUUUAUAUUACCUUUGUUGCUUUGGCAGGCCCGUCUUCGGACCACCGGCUUCGGCUGGUCAGUGCUUGCCAGAGGACCCAAAACUCUUAUUAUUAAUGUCGUCUGAGUACUAUAUAAUAGUUAAAACUUUCAACAACGGAUCUCUUGGUUCUGACAUCGAUGAAGAACGCAGC